CGUACAAGAACACCAAUAGAGAACCUACAAGAAGAAUCAAGACCAUGUAUGCCAACAGCACAAAUCCUAUGUAUUUGCGGCAACCCUUCUUGAGGCUAGUGGUAUUAGUUGAUGGUGUUACCGGGAUUGCCUCUUCUAUCUGCGACUCAUCUUGCACGAUGUCGAAAGGAAAAAUAUAUCGACAUAGCGAGGACUGUAGUUAGGGUUGCUUGGCUUCAGCGCCAUCAAGGCAGCAAAGCCAAGUACAUCAACGAUAACAAAAUAGGACAAGUGAAUCAAAAGUGGGCUAAGAUGGAAAGCAAUGAACUGAAAAAUGAACACAGAUGAAUUGCUGACAUGCCUUGCAGAACUAAGAAAAGUAUGCAGCCGGAUAGGCAUUGGAGUUAGAUAGAUGGCAGUGUGCCUCUAUAUCUUUGAUGUAUGUGCCUUGAUUCAGCAGGCAACUACAAGUACAAGUGAGCAAUGGAAGUAUAUAUACAGCCCGGUCAAAGUUAGUGGACAAGCAGACAUGGACAAUGCGGUUUGAGAUGCCUUCCAUAUUUUCUUUUGGAAAAAAAGAUACCUUUCAGAACUUAAUGCUAUGCGUGCGGGUGUGCAGACGAGCUUAGAAAAGAACAGUUUGAAUGCGUGCUAAAUUUUUGUCCCACCAUUUGCCAAUUGUCAUGUUUCUAAAGGCAACUAUGACCAGCUCACCAGAGUAGGCAAGUGAAAGUGUUGUUUACAUAGAAGGCAAUUUGCCAAUUGCCAUGCCACUAAGGCAACCUUGAUCAGGUGGUGUAACAGUUCUGGUGGUGGAAUUUCCUGGAAUUUAUGGUAAACUUUUUUUUGGAUGGAUGUAAGAUCACCUCUGAAUUUUGCAUUGUAAAGUGCAAACAAGAUCACCUCUGAAUUUUGCAUUGUAAAGUGCAAACAAGAAUGUGCAUGAGACGAUUUUGGUACUUUGCAUUUGGCUCUUCCCUUGAAGACAAUUUUCCCCAUUGCCAUGCCAAUAAGGCAAGCUUGAUCAGGUGGUGUAACAGCUCGUAUGUUCUGGUAGUGGAAUUGCCUGGAAGUCAUGUUGAACUUUUUUGGGAUGGAUGUAAGAGCACCUCUGAAAUUUCAUUGCAAAGUGCAAACAAAAAUGUCCAUAGAGCGAUUUUGGUACUUUGCAUUUGGCUCUUUCCCUGAAGAUGUCCAGCAAUAAUGAGUCAGAAAGUGAUUGCAGCUGCUAUGCUGCAAGGACACAGAGCAUGUUUAGCUGUAAUGGAACUCAUGGCUAGGAAGUAUUCUAUGCCAUGCUUCAAGGGAAAUGUACAGACACAAGUGGACAAGAACCUUUCUCAGUUAGUCCCUUUCUAGUCAGUUCCCUGCUCAGCAUGGUACAUCGCAAAUCCAGGAUGUAGUUACAUCUUGAUUGGUCCUAAGCUGAGGAGGUAAGAUGAGUCCCAAGGUUAUUCGAGUGCAUGCGGCUAGGAUUUCUCUACUCAAAUUUGUGCUCAAAUGGAGAGUGUUGCUUGAUUGAAAUCUUGAGGUGAAAUCUGUAAAUGUUACUGACUGAAGAUGCUAAUGGAUUCACCUCACUUUGGAAGAGGACCCCAGAGAAGGUUCACUGAACUUAAUAGCUCUACCCCUUUGCAUGAUUUGGUGUUUGUUGUGACUUUGGCUUCUAUGAUGGCCUUUUGUGUUCUAUUUGUACAGUUAUUUCUUCAAGUGAAUCAUUUGUGCAGUACUCAGACUGAAUAGCGCCUCAACAAAAUAUGCCGAGGUAUUGUUCAUUAUUUUCAUGCAGACUUUAGGCUUCGAUUCCAUAAUCAACUAACCUUUGUUCAAAGCCAUCAAGGAAACAAAACCAUGUACGUUGAUGAAAAAAAAUAGGACAAGUGAAUCAAAAGCAAGCUAAGAUCGAAAGCAAUGGACUGAAAAGUAAACACAGAUGAACUGAUGAUAUGCAGCUGGCUAGGCAUUCGAGUUAAAUGGAGUGGUUCGAGCUCUUUAUAGUGUAUGUUCCUGGCAUUUACAAGUGAAAUUUUAUCAAUGGAGUAUUGGAGUAUAUCAUCAGUUCUUAAUUUUUAAUCUUUGGAAAAAGAUACACUUCAGAAUUUAAUGUUAUGUUUUAGGAUCAUGCACUGACAUGCUCAAAUGCACGCUAAAGCAGCAUAGAAAGAACAGUUUCCAUGUGUACUAAAACUUCCUCUCACCAUUUGCCAAUUGUCAUCUUUUUAAGGGUAACCAUGACCACAUCACCAGAUUAGGCAAGUGAAGGCUUUGCUUCCAUACGAAGACAAAUUGCCAAUUGCCAUCCCGCCAAGAGCAACCUCGACCAGGUCCCCAGACUAGGCAAGUGAAAGUGUUGCUUACAUAUAUGUAGAGAAAUAAUGGCACAACAUCUAGCAAGUGCUACUGGUAGUGGAGUUUCCCAAAAGUUAUGCCAAACUUUUAUAAUAUUUAAAUGGAUAUAAGAGCAUCUCUGAAUUUCACAAUGCAAACAAGAAUGUGCAGAAAAUGAUUAUGGAACUCUGCAUUUGGUUCUUCCCUUGAAGAUGCCCAGCAGUGAUGGUCAGAAAAGUGAUUGUGGUGCUAUGAAACAAAAUGGUGACACGCUGCAUGUUUAGCUGUGACUGAACUCAUGGCCAGGAAGUGUUCUAAUGCCAUGCUUCAAGGGGCAUGCAUAGACCACCAGUGGACAGGAAACUUCCCUCAGUUGGUCACUUUCUAGUUUGUUGCUUGCUAGCCAUGGUACAUCAUAAAUGAGGCAUGCUGUUGUUACAUCUUGAUUGAUCCUUAGCUGAAGAGGUAAGAUGAGUCCAAAGGCUAUUUUUGCGGAUACAACUGGGACUUCUAAUAGGGCCGACAUACUCAAAUGAUAAUUGUUCGGAUGGAAAGUCAUUGCUCACUGAAAAUUGAGGUAAACCUGUUAUUGUUAUUGAUAUGGAGGCAAGGUUCAGUGAUUUCAAUAACCAGCAACUGAAUGGCUCUACUGCUUUGCAUGAUUUGUGUGUUCGCUAUGACUUUGCCUUCCCUGGUGGCCUUCCGUGAUGUGCAUGUACAAUUAUUUCUUCGCAUGAACUGAUCACCACAUGUUCACGUCCGGAAGCAAUUAUGUGUUAGUGCAAAACUCAGACGUGUUAGCUGGAUCUUCAUGCUUGCUCUGCCUGUUGACUAGUCAGUAACUCGAUAAAUUGUGGAACGCCUUUUAAAGACCUCAACAAAAUAUACCAAGUGAUGCAGGCAACUAUCACAAAGAUGAUGUUACACCCGAGCGGUGAGAAUACCAAAUUCUGCACCAACGACCCUCUCUUGCCUUUUGUGCUCGCAUCGGUGGUUUUAGUAUCUCCAUUGGGUGGUGCAAAUGUUGCUGAUGAUGGCAAAUACCUGAGACCAAGAAGCAAAUUGUCGCACAUGAAUUUGAGAUUCCAAAGCAAUACUAUAAUGGCAGGGGACAUGAGCGAGCAGUCGAUGGAAUUCUCCCCAGAGUGCCUCGCAUUCACCACCAUGAAGAAUGCAUUGACAGUCUUCUGAUAAGAGCUGAGCCCAUCAAACACUGAAGAGUUCCAGUCAACAGCGCAAAACAGCGUGACCCCAGCUGCUGCAAGGCCAACAACCGUUGAGGAGAGAAAAACAGUCCGCAACCCAGGAAGCAAAUUAGCGAAAUGCACUUCCUCAGGGUUCUUGAUCAUGAGCCUCAGCUCCUUCACCUUUGUGAGCUUCCCCAGGAACCAUACCAGUAGCCUCAGGAAGAGAGGGAACAAUGUAUUGCCUGCGAGCAUCUGGCCACUGAGCAGCAGCAAGAGGCCUGAAUUCUUUGAGAAGAUGACCAUGUUCUCAUUUGUCGGCACGAGUCCUGCAUUUGCAAAGGAGGAGACGGUGACUGAUAGUGAGAAGAGCACGAUGUUGAUCCCUUUCUUGUUCAGUGGGGCACUUGCAGUUGGCACAUGAGUUAUAUACAGAAAAACCAGCAGAAAGCCCAAGACAUGGAUCACAGCAAAGUACCCAAAGAUCACAUGUCCGAAACACUUGACAGAUUCAGUCCUCUUCAACUCUGUACAUUUCUUUGGUGGAAUUGCAUGAGCAGCUUCUUCAAGCUGCGACUCAUCACAUAGUGCCAUGCUGUUGGCCAAGUCUAGCACUUCAAGCUCGACAGGAACUGAGCUGAUCUUCACGCUCGGAAGAUCUUGCAUGUCUUGAUGGUUCACUCUAAGCAUGAGGCCUAAGAGCGAAACAAAGAUCUCCCCUCCUACAAGCAUGAGCAGUGUUAGGACCACAAUCUGAGAGCUCGAGAGGUCCUCCAUCUUGACGGUGCUGAGGCCAGAAACUGUUAGAGCAGAGGUUGACAAGUACAACAUGUCAAUAUAAGGAGGGCAGAACUCAGGAUUGCUUGGUUUCAGCGACAUCAAGAGGACUGAACCAAGUAUAGCCAUGGCAAGGAAGUAGGACAGUUGGAUCCAGAAUGGAUGAACAUGCAAUGCGACGAACCGAUAGAUAAAAACCAUCGAAUCGACAACAUAUCUACUGAUGCGGCUGAAGCUAUGCAGCUUGAUAUGUAUGAAAUCCUGGUAAAAUCUUUUCACCCGGCCCAUGGUGCUAUAUAUGAGUGAGAAACAAAUGCAUAUGUCUGUGACAAGAUAAGUCUCGUAUUGGUGCUACUUAUAUGGGUGCACUGGAUCAUUGGCUUGGUACCAUGAGCAGAUCAAUCUAGUCCUAUGAUUCUAUUUCGGGUUUUAAAAAUAAUUUGCACUUGGGUGUUCUUUCAAUUGAGCUCAGGGCAGCCGGCCGGUGAGUUAUUCAUAUGGUGCACAAUAAUCACAAUAAUGCACCAAUGUUUAUUGGACGUUGACGAAGAGUAAUAUCCAUUGUAGCAUCUCAGAGAGUCGGUCCCAUGUGCAACUGCAGGAAUGUGUGCCCAUAUAGAAACGGACCAAUCAGGAGGGAGAGACUUCAAAUAAUUGCAUAUGGUCAAGCUGGAAUUCCGGUCAAGCUACAUCGUACACACUCACAUGUUAGCAAGAUAGCAACUUCAUGCUAUAGCAGACUGGGAAUCUAGGAUCAAAGCAUAUUCUGCAUCCGUCCCACUUCCAAAUCCAGAAAAGUUAGAGAAUAGGAUACGGUAGCGUUAUCCGUUCGAAUUUGGUCUGGUUUCACCCCUGGUGCACUGCAUCAUUAGCUUGGUACCAUAAAUGAGGAGACCAAUUUAAUCCUAUGAUUCCAGUUCUGAUUUAAAAAUUGAUCAUCAGACAGCCAGCCCAAUAGAAUCAUGUUGCACCCUCAAUCAAUCAAUAGCGUAUUUUUUUCCUUUCCCGAGAAAAAAUAUUGUCACUCACAGUCAUACACUUGAUUAUGUUUGUCUUCGCUCACAAUUAUGCAUUCAUGUUUAUUGGACGUUGACAAAGAGUAAUAUCCAUUGAAGGAUUUGGAGAGUCUUGACCAUGUGCAACUGCAGGAAUGCACAGCCAUACAAAAAUGGACCAAUCAGGUGGGAGAACCUUCAAUAAUUGCAGGUACAUAUAUACUAGUAAUACAUGUUAGCAUACUCAAUGUUAAUAGUAGACUGGGAUCAAAGCAUGUUCUGCUUGCUCGUACUGUCGUACAAAGAGACUGGGAUAUAGUAGAUGGAUGAUACAUCCUAAAUUGCUUCUUUGCAUUUCGACGUUUCUUUCAGUUGAGCACAGGACAGCCGGCCGGUGAGUGAUUGCGUACGGCGCACAUGCAUGUCCACUUUCUAUUCGCCGCUGACUAGUCCCGAAAAAUGUAUCAAUUGGGGCCCUUUUUAUUUCUGUAUUAUUGGCUAUCACCAAGCUAAAUCUCACAUGCCCUGUCUUCAGUUUCUCUUAUGAAACUGUGAUGGGGCUUUGGGUGUUAGUUCAGCAAGUUGCUUGAAAUACUUGAAAAUGUGUUCUUGAUUACUUCACAAUGUUCCGACUUGAGCCUCACCUUGCCAAGUUUCAUGCCACUUUUCUUCUUGGAUGCAAGUCCUCGAGGGUACUACAUAUGUUGUCAGGGAAUUGUUCUGAAGUUGGAUUGGUGGUCAUGCGGAGUGAAAAAUCUCAUCCUUCAGUUUAUUGGAUUGGAUAUGCUGAUACGUGCAACUGUGGAAGGUUGUACCCCUCUUGUACUCAUUUCAUUCCCUUCUAUCAAUGAAAGGUACGCAAGCUUUACAUAUUCGCGAAAAAAUAGUUAUAAACAGACGAUGCAACUAAAAUACCGACGAUACCAAGCUAGGACAUGAUUUUGAAAAUGUUACAACAACUUUCUUUGUGUUUUCUUUGGAGGAAUACUGAAGCUUUCAUGAGUAAUAGGUUUUGCUGCUUGGCUUGGGUACUACAACGAGAUAUUGCCCGGCAAGCUUACGGACACAAAAAAGGCUGUGAAAGACAAAGCACAAGGUGUCUUCAUGUCACAAAUUGCUUCUGCAUGUACUGGUUGAUUUUAGUAAGAUCACUCCAAUUUUCUUGCAAUGAUUCUGACUCUGCCUGCUUUCCCUGCAGGGUUAAAGUUUAUUUGUCUUAUCAAUCCCUGCAAUUUGGAUGAAAUAGAAACAGUUUUGGCAUUGAGUGAAACAUCUCUAAAUUAAAACUUACUCAACUGAAUCGGAUAAACAUAGGUUUCUGAAUGAAUGGAAUGUCAUAGCACAAACGAAUCUGCUAUAAAUGCAUAUUUGGCUUACAUGUUUAUGAUAAUGCAAAAGCUAGAGAGAGAGAGUAACCAUAGUUUAACACAAGGUGGAUAGGACCAUGGGAUUGAUCAUGAGAUAUUGUCAUAGUUUUAAAUAGCGCACUAUAGCGUUUAGAGAGAUCCGCUGCUAAGAGGCAUAGCCUGCUAUUUAAAACUAUGACAGUAUCUCAUAUGCACCUCGGAUUUGCUUUAGAAUUGUUCUAUUGUAUUGCUCGCAUGUUCUAAAAUGUUUGAAAUGCUCUUUGCAGACUGACUUUCUAUGUGGGGGGAGGCUCAAUUGUUUCAACACAUUUGAAAAGUUUGUGGAUUGUAAGAAAAAGUAUGCUUAUUUGAAAACUGUUCACGAAUUUGAAAAGAGUCAAUGGCUUUUAAGGA
This is a long non-coding RNA of Triticum aestivum (bread wheat), 7023 nucleotides long. RefSeq lists it as uncharacterized. The transcript has 4 exons. The record is from RefSeq and is a predicted model, not a curated record. NCBI's taxonomy places the organism in Eukaryota, Viridiplantae, Streptophyta, Magnoliopsida, Poales, Poaceae.